This is a long non-coding RNA of Oxyura jamaicensis (ruddy duck), 789 nucleotides long. RefSeq lists it as uncharacterized. Lineage: Eukaryota; Metazoa; Chordata; Aves; Anseriformes; Anatidae. The transcript has 4 exons. The record is from RefSeq and is a predicted model, not a curated record.
UUUUUUUUUCAAGCAAAUUUUAAUUGUUAACAUGCAGGAGCUGUGGCUAUGUGUGGUCCCUCUCCCAUCUUCCACUUUUGGCAGUUAGAGAGUGUUGGUGAGGAACACUGAGUAUGAGCAGACUGUGAUGCUCUUGAAUCACCCACACAAGCACUUACAGAGAUGGAGCUGUUAAAUGAGCUAAAAUUCCCCCACCGACCACUGCUGCAACCACAGAACUGAUGUCUCUCAGGGCAGCAUCCCUGCUUUUGACUCUUCAGCCCCAGCAAUGUCUGCUUAGACCAGAGCCCACUCCUCUGGUACAAUAUGGCAAAUCUUGUGGUUUACUGCCUACAAACCUGGUCCUGCUGUUGUCAGCCAUGGAGUUGCCUACGUUGCCUUUGAUGAAGAGGACUGGAACAGACAUCGCUGAUUAAAGAAGCCUGUUAUGAUUCUAAGUGUCUUCUACAAGUCUGGAGUGAGCAAUCACCUUAUCUGACAGCUGCAGCUGUAGACAACUUGGGUUAGACGAGAUGAAUGCCUUCUUGCUGUCACUUUAACUGGAGACCUCAGCUGAUGUUCUCAGUGGCUUAUAUGGUAUCAUGGCGGAGGAAGGAACAAGCAGAACAUGUAAGAAAAUGGGAUUUCUACAGUCUUCUUACAUUCCUCUGAUGCAGUUCAGAUCUCCAUCUGGAGUGGAUUUCACUUCACCUACCUAAAGCUACCUAGAAGCUAAAUAUCUAAAGUAAACCUGCAUUCCUUUCAGAGUCAGAGGAAAGAUAUUGUCUCUUACACUUUUUAGGAUCCCAU